This 468-nucleotide ribosomal RNA is filed under the name uncultured bacterium. RNAcentral describes it as "partial 16S ribosomal RNA". It matches the Rfam family "Bacterial small subunit ribosomal RNA", at positions 28 to 507 of the family's 1533-position model. The record is from RNAcentral.
GACGAACGCUGGCGGCGUGCCUAACACAUGCCAGUCGAACGGAAAGGCCCUGCUUUUGUGGGGUGCUCGAGUGGCGAACGGGUGAGUAACACGUGAGUAUCCUGCACUUGACUUUGGGAUAACUUCAGGAAACUGGGGCUAAUACCGGAUAGGAGCUCCUGCUGCAUGGUGGGGGUUGGAAAGUUUCGGCGGUUGGGGAUGGACUCGCGGCUUAUCAGCUUGUUGGUGGGGUAGUGGCUUACCAAGGCUUUGACGGGUAGCCGGCCUGAGAGGUUGACCGGCCACAUUGGGACUGAGAGAGGCCCCAGACUCGUACGGGAGGCAGCAGUGGGGAAUAUUGCACAAUGGGCGGAAGUCUGAUGCAGCAACGCUGCGUGCGGGAUGACGGCCUUCGGGUUGUAAACCGCUUUCGCCUGUGACGAAGCGUGAGUGACGGUAAUGAGUAAAGAAGCACCGGCUAACUACGUG